AAAAAUCACAGUCUGCCAUU
RNAcentral lists this microRNA (20 nucleotides) under Saccoglossus kowalevskii. RNAcentral describes it as "sko-miR-7-3p". Its record names the gene sko-miR-7-3p. Lineage: Eukaryota; Metazoa; Hemichordata; Enteropneusta; Harrimaniidae. The record is from miRBase by way of RNAcentral.